RNAcentral lists this small nucleolar RNA (107 nucleotides) under Eutrema salsugineum. RNAcentral's name for it is "Plant small nucleolar RNA R71". It matches the Rfam family "Plant small nucleolar RNA R71". Rfam says of the family: R71 is a member of the C/D box family of snoRNAs containing the C (UGAUGA) and D (CUGA) box motifs. Multiple nearly identical copies of this snoRNA have been identified in Arabidopsis, and it is thought to function as a 2'-O-ribose methylation guide for 18S ribosomal RNA. The record is from Rfam by way of RNAcentral. Lineage: Eukaryota; Viridiplantae; Streptophyta; Magnoliopsida; Brassicales; Brassicaceae.
ACGCCGUGGUGUGGGCAUUUGUUUGUAUAGCUCCGGAACCGUUCCCAAGCGUCACUAAAGCUCUCAUUGUUGUGCUGCGUGAAACUUGAAAUCUCAUUCCUUAGCUU